Long non-coding RNA from Triticum dicoccoides, 146 nucleotides. RefSeq lists it as uncharacterized. The record is from RefSeq and is a predicted model, not a curated record. NCBI's taxonomy places the organism in Eukaryota, Viridiplantae, Streptophyta, Magnoliopsida, Poales, Poaceae. The transcript has 3 exons.
AAACGGCUGAACCAGAUGGUGCCUACCCCUAAAAAUUAACAGUUACAAGUAUCUGCAUUUUGUCGAAAGUUCUUCGGUAUAGCCCCCUCUCCAUCAAAGUAGAAGAGUGUUCGUUGCAUGUGACCAUUCAAUAAGGGCUUCGGCAA